RNAcentral lists this ribosomal RNA (519 nucleotides) under Salmonella enterica. RNAcentral describes it as "partial 23S ribosomal RNA". It matches the Rfam family "Bacterial large subunit ribosomal RNA", at positions 711 to 1227 of the family's 2925-position model. RNAcentral also lists the same sequence under 1 other name. Lineage: Bacteria; Pseudomonadati; Pseudomonadota; Gammaproteobacteria; Enterobacterales; Enterobacteriaceae. The record is from RNAcentral.
AGACCCGAAACCCGGUGAUCUAGCCAUGGGCAGGUUGAAGGUUGGGUAACACUAACUGGAGGACCGAACCGACUAAUGUUGAAAAAUUAGCGGAUGACCUGUGGCUGGGGGUGAAAGGCCAAUCAAACCGGGAGAUAGCUGGUUCUCCCCGAAAGCUAUUUAGGUAGCGCCUCGUGAACUCAUCUCCGGGGGUAGAGCACUGUUUCGGCUAGGGGGCCAUCCCGGCUUACCAACCCGAUGCAAACUGCGAAUACCGGAGAAUGUUAUCACGGGAGACACACGGCGGGUGCUAACGUCCGUCGUGAAGAGGGAAACAACCCAGACCGCCAGCUAAGGUCCCAAAGUCAUGGUUAAGUGGGAAACGAUGUGGGAAGGCCCAGACAGCCAGGAUGUUGGCUUAGAAGCAGCCAUCAUUUAAAGAAAGCGUAAUAGCUCACUGGUCGAGUCGGCCUGCGCGGAAGAUGUAACGGGGCUAAACCAUGCACCGAAGCUGCGGCAGCGACACUUUAGUGUUGUUGG